Ictalurus punctatus (channel catfish) is the source of this 2744-nucleotide long non-coding RNA. The record is from Ensembl. Lineage: Eukaryota; Metazoa; Chordata; Actinopteri; Siluriformes; Ictaluridae.
GCUUUAGUCUGAUUCUGAUGGAGCGCCACCACCCUCUGCUGGCCAAAUAGCAAAAGUGGCAUACACAUGGCAUAAGCAAAAGUAUUUUCUCAUCAAAUUUAUGAAUGGAGAAAACCCAAAGAUAAUUGGUACAAGGAAACCCAUUUUUAAACCAUAUAACUGGACCUUUUGGGGAACUUUUGGUGACACUAAACGGAAAUCGAACAAAUCGAGCAAAUCGAACAAACAACAUCUGUACUGUAAACUAAAAGUUUACUUGAGAAGCCCUGUAGCUUUAAUAGCACCUGUAUUUAUUUAUUUAUUUAUUUUCUGCAUAUAUCAUACAUGCUAACCGUUUGGAGCUACAAUCACAAUGUUACUUCACUGAAUCAUCAAAAUUGUUUGAAAAGUACUAGUGUAAAGAACAUUAAACGUUUUUAUUUCAUGCUAACUUCCUGUAAAAUUGACGAUGAAUUGAAUUUCGCGCCCCUUAGGAACGCUGGUUUCUUCAGACUGUUUUGUGAUUCAACACUGCCACCUGCUGGUCAUCCGGGUGACUUGCACUAUGUGCUACAGUUGAGCCUUUGUAUUUAGGCUACGUCAAAGCACAGCAACACUUCACACACAUGAUUAUAAUAUGUAGUUAGCCCUAGAUUCAAGCUUUCUCAAUCAAGCACAUUCUCAUUUCCCAAUAUUUUUUUCAAGGAGUUUGGCGUGUUUAAAAAUGGCUCAGUGGCCAAAACCACACCCUGUUCACUACAGUUUACUCUUUUGAUUCGUGUCUGAAAGAUUAUCCAGCACACUUGUGAAAUUCCACGAACUACAAAGCAUCUAUAUUAGGUGGUCCAGAAUUCCAUUUAUGCACAUGUAAAACAUAGUGUGUGUAUGAAAUAGGGAACCAUUUUGAAUACCUGGAGAGAUUGGCAAACUCUAGUCCACAGAUUCCCAACCUUGGUCCUGAAGUACCCUGCACUUUAUAAUGUUCUGCACAUUAUAGAGUUUUCCUUGCUCCUAACACAUAUGAUUCAACUAAUCAGCUCGUUAACAGUGGGUAAGUGAUUGUCUGAGCAUGCAAAACAUUCAAAUGUGUACUACUGAGGUUCUCAAGGUGUCUGUCUCAAUCACACUCGCCAGAAGGGGGCAGCAGCCUGCCAUGGUACUGUAACAUCAGCACAUCUGUGUUACAGAUCUCUGUUCUGCCAGUCCUUGUCCUAUACAUAAGAAGAAGAAAAAAAACUAAAUACUAAAAUAUUUAUUCAUUUUGACCCCAUGUAGAUUCUGAUUAUUAGCUAAUAAUGUGUCAUGGUUUGAAGAGCAACCCCAUCCAUCCAUCAAAUUUCCAUACCGCUCAUCUUACACAGGGUUGAAGAGGAGCAUGGAGCCUCUCAGGGAACUCAGGGCACAAGUUGGGGGACACCCUGGAGAGCACCAAGCCCAUUGCAGGGCACAAUCGCACACAUAUACACAACAUUUUGAAAUUGCCAAUCAGCCUACAACGUAUGUCUUUGGACUGACAGACCCAGAGGAAACCCUGGCCGAACAUACAAACACCUUUCACGCCGAGCAGAGGCAGGAUUCAAACCCUCAACUCUGGAGGUGUGAGGCAAACAUGCUAACCACUAUACCAUGGUGCCCCCUCUUGAGGAGCAACCAAAUUUGGUAAACAGUACUGGCAAGCUAAUGCAUACAUUCAUUUGUUUUCAUUAACCGCUUUAUCCUGGUCAGGGUUGUGGUGGGUCCAGAGAAUAUCCUGGGAACGCUGGAAGCAAGGCGGGAAAUGCACCCUGGAUGGGACGCCAGUCCACUGCAGGGCAUCAUGAACACACUUGUCCACACACUCACUCACAUCUAGAGGCUAUUUAGAUCAACAGUCCACCUACUGGCAUGUUUUUUGGAAGAAGGGAGGAAAUCAGAGAACUCCAGAAACCCAGGAAGACAUGGAGAAAACAUGUGAAACAGAGAAAUCCAAACUCAGGAUCGAACCAGAGACCCCAUAGCUGUGAGGCAGCAAUAGCACCACCUUGCCACCCUUAUUUCACCCUUGUAUUGGUAUAUUUUCACUUGAAUAUGACGUUUAUUAAUGCAUUCCUCCACUCAUUAAUACUGGAUGAGCUUUAUUAGUUGUUCAUAGCCUUAACAGAUAUGAAGGGUCAUACAUUUUAGACAUAUUUAUGCCUGUGAUAUCUUGGUUAGAGAUUAAUCCACUAUCUCAGAUAGUAUUUAAUUUUAGGCGACUAUGAGUAAUUAUGAGUCAUAAGUUAGAAUGCCCAACCUUGAACAGUUGAUGUAUUUGGGCAUUAUUUAUUAUGCAUUAUUUAUUAAGUAAUAUAAUGUAAUAUAAUAUAAUAUUGUAGGAGAAAUCACAAUACAUCCCAGGUUCUCAUGGGUAAGAGAUUACCUCCCUGAGCCACUUUACCUUCUCUCAUCCUUGCUUCCUUUUUUUUUUUUACCCUCUUUUCAUUCUUUUUCUAUACUAUUGUCUGCAUGCCCACUUCGCUGUACCACCUUACAAUUGCUGAUCCUAUUAGAAAAUACAAGACAGAGAAGCAGCUUUGAAAUCAAUAUUCUUUUCUAUCCAUCUCGACUUCUGCCAAAGUAAAAGUCAAUACAACUAUCAGGAGGGACAACCUCUAAAGACUUGACCAAAUAUUGUUUUUUGUCAACUGAGGUAGAUGCCAGUCCCUGGCUAAUUGGAGACAGACUCAGUGUCAUGACAGGUUCCAUAUUUAGUGAGAUGGUCAGAGCUGAACUUCUGUUUCAGGAGG